RNAcentral lists this ribosomal RNA (254 nucleotides) under uncultured bacterium. RNAcentral's name for it is "partial 16S ribosomal RNA". It matches the Rfam family "Bacterial small subunit ribosomal RNA", at positions 524 to 776 of the family's 1533-position model. The record is from RNAcentral.
UACAGAGGGCGCGAGCGUUGUCCGGAAUCACUGGGCGUAAAGGGCGCGUAGGUGGCCACUAUAAGGCCGCGGUGAAAGUUCGGGGCUCAACCCUGAAUCGGCCGCGGCGACUGUAGGGCUUGGGCACUGUAGAGGCAGAUGGAAUUCCGGGUGUAGCGGUGGAAUGCGCAGAUAUCAGGAGGAACACCUGUGGCGAAAGCGGGUUGCUGGGCUGACACUGACGCUGAUGCGCGAAAGCUAGGGGAGCGAGCGGG